CAAUAGCGUAUAUUAAAGUUGUUUGCGGUUAAAAGACUCGUAGUUGGAUUUCUGCUGAGGACGACCGGUCCGCCCUCUGGGUGAGUAUCUGGCUCGGCCUUGGCAUCUUCUUGGAGAACGUAUCUGCACUUGACUGUGUGGUGCGGUACCCAGGAACAUUUACUUUGAGGAAAUUAGAGUGUUUCAAGCAGGCUUGUGCCUUGAAUACAUUAGCAUGGAAUAAUAAGAUAGGACCUCGGUUCUAUUUUGUUGGUUUCUAGAGCUGAGGUAAUGAUUAAUAGGGAUAGUUGGGGGCAUUCGUAUUAACUGUCAGAGGUGAAAUUCUUGGAUUUGUUAAAGACGGACUAC
RNAcentral lists this ribosomal RNA (348 nucleotides) under uncultured eukaryote. RNAcentral describes it as "SSU rRNA". It matches the Rfam family "Eukaryotic small subunit ribosomal RNA", at positions 592 to 943 of the family's 1831-position model. The record is from RNAcentral.